Molecule: ribosomal RNA, 497 nt
Filed under: uncultured bacterium
Lineage: Bacteria
Description: partial 16S ribosomal RNA
Rfam family: Bacterial small subunit ribosomal RNA
Source: RNAcentral
GAUGAACGCUGGCGGCGUGCCUAAUACAUGCAAGUCGAGCGAACAGACGAGGAGCUUGCUCCUCUGAUGUUAGCGGCGGACGGGUGAGUAACACGUGGAUAACCUACCUAUAAGACUGGGAUAACUUCGGGAAACCGGAGCUAAUACCGGAUAAUAUUUUGAACCGCAUGGUUCAAUAGUGAAAGACGGUCUUGCUGUCACUUAUAGAUGGAUCCGCGCUGCAUUAGCUAGUUGGUAAGGUAACGGCUUACCAAGGCGACGAUGCGUAGCCGACCUGAGAGGGUGAGCGGCCACACUGGAACUGAGACACGGUCCAGACUCCUACGGGAGGAAGCAGUAGGGAAUCUUCCGCAAUGGGCGAAAGCCUGAAGGAGCAACGCCGCGUGAGUGAUGAAGGUCUUCGGAUCGUAAAACUCUGUUAUUAGGGAAGAACAAAUGUGUAAGUAACUGUGCACAUCUUGACGGUACCUAAUCAGAAAGCCACGGCUAACUACGUG